UACGUAGGGUGCGAGCGUUGUCCGGAAUUACUGGGCGUAAAGCGCGUGUAGGCGGAUGAGCAAGUCUGCUGUGAAAGCUCCUGGCUUAACCGGGAGUGGUCGGUGGAAACUGCUCGUCUGGAGGACGGUAGAGGUAGGUAGAAUUCCCGGUGUAGUGGUGAAAUGCGUAGAGAUCGGGAGGAAUACCUGUGGCGAAGGCGGCCUACUGGGCCGGACCUGACGCUGAGACGCGAAGGCGUGGGGAGCGAACGGG
This 253-nucleotide ribosomal RNA is filed under the name uncultured bacterium. Its description in RNAcentral is "partial 16S ribosomal RNA". It matches the Rfam family "Bacterial small subunit ribosomal RNA", at positions 524 to 776 of the family's 1533-position model. The record is from RNAcentral.